This 800-nucleotide ribosomal RNA is filed under the name Arthrobacter sp. Its description in RNAcentral is "bacterial SSU rRNA". It matches the Rfam family "Bacterial small subunit ribosomal RNA", at positions 76 to 887 of the family's 1533-position model. Lineage: Bacteria; Bacillati; Actinomycetota; Actinomycetes; Micrococcales; Micrococcaceae. The record is from RNAcentral.
CAGCUUGCUGGGGGGAUUAGUGGCGAACGGGUGAGUAACACGUGAGUAACCUGCCCUUAACUCUGGGAUAAGCCUGGGAAACUGGGUCUAAUACCGGAUAUGACUCCUCAUCGCAUGGUGGGGGGUGGAAAGCUUUUUGUGGUUUUGGAUGGACUCGCGGCCUAUCAGCUUGUUGGUGAGGUAAUGGCUCACCAAGGCGACGACGGGUAGCCGGCCUGAGAGGGUGACCGGCCACACUGGGACUGAGACACGGCCCAGACUCCUACGGGAGGCAGCAGUGGGGAAUAUUGCACAAUGGGCGCAAGCCUGAUGCAGCGACGCCGCGUGAGGGAUGACGGCCUUCGGGUUGUAAACCUCUUUCAGUAGGGAAGAAGCGAAAGUGACGGUACCUGCAGAAGAAGCGCCGGCUAACUACGUGCCAGAAGCCGCGGUAAUACGUAGGGCGCAAGCGUUAUCCGGAAUUAUUGGGCGUAAAGAGCUCGUAGGCGGUUUGUCGCGUCUGCCGUGAAAGUCCGGGGCUCAACUCCGGAUCUGCGGUGGGUACGGGCAGACUAGAGUGAUGUAGGGGAGACUGGAAUUCCUGGUGUAGCGGUGAAAUGCGCAGAUAUCAGGAGGAACACCGAUGGCGAAGGCAGGUCUCUGGGCAUUAACUGACGCUGAGGAGCGAAAGCAUGGGGAGCGAACAGGAUUAGAUACCCUGGUAGUCCAUGCCGUAAACGUUGGGCACUAGGUGUGGGGGACAUUCCACGUUUUCCGCGCCGUAGCUAACGCAUUAAGUGCCCCGCCUGGGGAGUACGGCC